GGGCAGGGUGAGUCGACCCCUAAGGCGAGGCCGAAAGGCGUAGUCGAUGGGAAACGGGUUAAUAUUCCCGUACUUGGUGUUACUGCGAAGGGGGGACGGAGAAGGCUAUGUUGGCCGGGCGACGGUUGUCCCGGUUUAAGCGUGUAGGUGUGUGUUCCAGGUAAAUCCGGUUCACUUUAACACUGAGGCGUGACGACGAGGCACUACGGUGCUGAAGCAACAAAUGCCCUGCUUCCAGGAAAAGCCUCUAAGCAUCAGGUAACAUCAAAUCGUACCCCAAACCGACACAGGUGGUCAGGUAGAGAAUACCAAGGCGCUUGAGAGAACUCGGGUGAAGGAACUAGGCAAAAUGGUGCCGUAACUUCGGGAGAAGGCACGCUGACACGUAGGUGAAGUGAUUUACUCAUGGAGCUGAAGUCAGUCGAAGAUACCAGCUGGCUGCAACUGUUUAUUAAAAACACAGCACUGUGCAAACACGAAAGUGGACGUAUACGGUGUGACGCCUGCCCGGUGCCGGAAGGUUAAUUGAUGGGGUCAGCGCAAGCGAAGCUCCUGAUCGAAGCCCCGGUAAACGGCGGCCGUAACUAUAACGGUCCUAAGGUAGCGAAAUUCCUUGUCGGGUAAGUUCCGACCUGCACGAAUGGCGUAAUGAUGGCCAGGCUGUCUCCACCCGAGACUCAGUGAAAUUGAACUCGCUGUGAAGAUGCAGUGUACCCGCGGCAAGACGGAAAGACCCCGUGAACCUUUACUAUAGCUUGACACUGAACAUUGAGCCUUGAUGUGUAGGAUAGGUGGGAGGCUUUGAAGCGUGGACGCCAGUCUGCGUGGAGCCGACCUUGAAAUACCACCCUUUAAUGUUUGAUGUUCUAACGUGGACCCGUGAUCCGGGUUGCGGACAGUGUCUGGUGGGUAGUUUGACUGGGGCGGUCUCCUCCUAAAGAGUAACGGAGGAGCACGAAGGUUGGCUAAUCCUGGUCGGACAUCAGGAGGUUAGUGCAAUGGCAUAAGCCAGCUUGACUGCGAGCGUGACGGCGCGAGCAGGUGCGAAAGCAGGUCAUAGUGAUCCGGUGGUUCUGAAUGGAAGGGCCAUCGCUCAACGGAUAAAAGGUACUCCGGGGAUAACAGGCUGAUACCGCCCAAGAGUUCAUAUCGACGGCGGUGUUUGGCACCUCGAUGUCGGCUCAUCACAUCCUGGGGCUGAAGUAGGUCCCAAGGGUAUGGCUGUUCGCCAUUUAAAGUGGUACGCGAGCUGGGUUUAGAACGUCGUGAGACAGUUCGGUCCCUAUCUGCCGUGGGCGCUGGAGAACUGAGGGGGGCUGCUCCUAGUACGAGAGGACCGGAGUGGACGCAUCACUGGUGUUCGGGUUGUCAUGCCAAUGGCACUGCCCGGUAGCUAAAUGCGGAAGAGAUAAGUGCUGAAAGCAUCUAAGCACGAAACUUGCCCCGAG
Molecule: ribosomal RNA, 1448 nt
Filed under: Salmonella enterica
Lineage: Bacteria; Pseudomonadati; Pseudomonadota; Gammaproteobacteria; Enterobacterales; Enterobacteriaceae
Description: partial 23S ribosomal RNA
Rfam family: Bacterial large subunit ribosomal RNA
Source: RNAcentral